Molecule: long non-coding RNA, 690 nt
Organism: Antechinus flavipes (yellow-footed antechinus)
Lineage: Eukaryota; Metazoa; Chordata; Mammalia; Dasyuromorphia; Dasyuridae
Exons: 7
Source: RefSeq, a predicted model, not a curated record
CAAUGGAUGAUGUCACAACCAGGUUCCAUUGGCCACAGUCCUGGGGGUGAGGCGUCUGGGGCUGCCCAGACCUGCCCUGCCCAGCCGGGGUGUCAGCUGGGCCAGCCUCUGCUGCCACCUGAGAAAUCUCAUGGAGGCCCGGGCUGUAGCUGCUGCCAGGCUGCUUGGAAGUCACCCAGGUGGGGAUGCUGGCAAGGCCCUCGGGACCCUAGAAAGGCCGCUCUGGAGGCCUCCAGUGCGAAUAGUGCACCAAGACCCCCGUGGCAGCUCCAGAGGAGCGUUAGCACAGAUCUCCGCCGAGACCAACUGCCCUUCUCGUCCCCAGACACAUCAGAAGUUGCCUGCUCCCUGACAGCUCCCAUCAGACCCAGCAGCUGUGAGGAAGAGAACCACUGAGGUGGCUUAGGAAGAAAUGCCCGAGGAAUGACAAUCUCUCUGCUCUCGCACUGCCCGGGCAGGACUGGCCCUAAUUGUGCAACUUCCUUCCUUCCUGAACUAGAGGCAGAAAGCAGCCCUGCUGGACCAGAAGCAGCACCUUUCUGUGGGGCACAAGGACCACCAGACAUCGGGUCAGCUGAGGCAUGGUCCGCUAGGACCCAGCCCGACUGCUGCCUGCUCAGACCCUGAGUGCCCGGGCGGCUGCCUCUGUGAGGCGUGAUGCAUCUGGUCAAUAAACACGCCUCUGAGGAA